AGAGUUUGAUCCUGGCUCAGGAUGAACGCUGGCGGCGUGCCUAAUACAUGCAAGUCGGACGAGGGUUAUUGUCGUAAGAUGAUAAUUCCUAGUGGCGAACGAGUGAGUAACACGUAGGUGACCUGCCCCGGAGAGGGGGAUAACGGCUCGAAAGGGCUGCUAAUACCCCAUUCUGCUCACAGAGGUUAGAGGCUCAGUGAGGAAAGGUGAAGACGCUCCGGGAGGGGCCUGCGGCCCAUCAGGUAGUUGGUGAGGUAACGGCUCACCAAGCCGAAGACGGGUAGGGGGCCUGAGAGGGUGGUCCCCCACACGGGCACUGAGAUACGGGCCCGACUCCUACGGGAGGCAGCAGUAAGGGAUAUUGCGCAAUGGGCGAAAGCCUGACGCAGCAACGCCGCGUGCCCGAGGAAGGCCUUCGGGUCGUAAAGGGCUUUUAGGGCUGAAGAGCAAGGACGGUAAGCCCGGAAGAAGUGUCGGCUAACUACGUGCCAGCAGCCGCGGUAAAACGUAGGACGCAAGCGUUAUCCGGAGUUACUGGGCGUAAAGGGCAGGCAGGCGGGCUGGUAAGUUGGAUGUGAAAUCUCUCUGGCUUAACCGGGAGGGUGCAUCUGAGACUGUCAGCCUGGAGGGCAGCAGAGGAGCGUGGAAUUCCGGGUGGAGUGGUGAAAUGCGUAGAGAUCCGGAGGAACACCAGAGGCGAAAGCGGGGCUCUGGGCUGCACCUGACGCUGAACUGCGAAAGCCAGGGGAGCGAACGGGAUUAGAAACCCCGGUAGUCCUGGCCGUAAACGAUGCCAACUG
Molecule: ribosomal RNA, 800 nt
Filed under: uncultured bacterium
Lineage: Bacteria
Description: bacterial SSU rRNA
Rfam family: Bacterial small subunit ribosomal RNA
Source: RNAcentral